UACGGAGGGGGCUAGCGUUGUUCGGAAUUACUGGGCGUAAAGCGCACGUAGGCGGCUUUGUAAGUUAGAGGUGAAAGCCCGGGGCUCAACUCCGGAAUUGCCUUUAAGACUGCAUCGCUAGAAUUGUGGAGAGGUAAGUGGAAUUCCGAGUGUAGAGGUGAAAUUCGUAGAUAUUCGGAAGAACACCAGUGGCGAAGGCGGCACUCUGGGCCGGAACUGACGCUGAGGAGCGAAAGCGUGGGGAGCAAACAGG
RNAcentral lists this ribosomal RNA (253 nucleotides) under uncultured bacterium. Its description in RNAcentral is "partial 16S ribosomal RNA". It matches the Rfam family "Bacterial small subunit ribosomal RNA", at positions 524 to 776 of the family's 1533-position model. The record is from RNAcentral.